Molecule: ribosomal RNA, 254 nt
Filed under: uncultured prokaryote
Description: partial 16S ribosomal RNA
Rfam family: Bacterial small subunit ribosomal RNA
Source: RNAcentral
UACGUAGGGUCCAAGCGUUAUCCGGAAUCACUGGGCGUAAAGCGUGCGUAGGCGGAUAUUUAAGUGUGAUGCGAAAUCCUGGGGCUCAACCCCAUGGACUGUAUCGCAUACUGGAUAUCUGGAGGAAUGCAGAGGCAAGUGGAAUUACCGGUGUAGCAGUGAAAUGCGUAGAUAUCGGUAGGAACACCAAUGGCGAAGGCAGCUUGCUGGGCAUUAUCUGACGCUAAGGCACGAAAGCGUGGGGAGCGAACAGG